CAUUUUUGUGAUAAUAUUUUUUAGAUUAUUGUCAACUACCCCCCAAAUCAGCAAUUAACAACAGAGGAAAAAGAUCUUUUAUGGAAGUUCAGAUUCUCAUUAUCCAAUCAGAAGCAAGCUCUGACAAAGUUCCUAAAAUCAGUUAAGUGGAACCAAGCCCACGAAGAGAAGCAGGCAGUUGAGUUCCUUCACAAAUGGAGCCCUAUUGAUGUGGUGGAUGCAUUGGAGCUUCUGUCCCCCCAGUUUAAGAACCCCACCGUUAGGAGGUAUGCAGUCUCUCGAAUUAAAGAGGCAACGGAUGAGGAAUUACUAUUGUACUUACUACAGCUUGUGCAAGCCUUAAAAUAUGAGGAUUUUGAAGCAAUCAAAGCAGGAGUUGAGGAUCCUGCUGCAGUCAGAAAGGAGGCUGAAGCUGCUAUGAUAGAACGUGAAAGACUGAGAAGCUCAUCCAUGACUUCUGUUGAUGACCAACAUUCAGAUGACAGUUCAUCUUUAAGUAAAGAUGAAACUGAUGGCAGAGAAGAAGAGG
Molecule: long non-coding RNA, 529 nt
Organism: Anneissia japonica
Lineage: Eukaryota; Metazoa; Echinodermata; Crinoidea; Comatulida; Comatulidae
Exons: 3
Source: RefSeq, a predicted model, not a curated record